AAAAAAAAAAAAAAAAAAAGAGUAUAAUAGCUUAAUCGUUUCACCACAACCCAUAAACAUUUCUUGUUAAUCCACUUUUUUCUUAAUUUUCAAAACUAGUCGUUUUAAAUAGUGAAACCUUGAAUUAUUUCUUGUCCUUUUUGAACGAAAAAACAAAAACUUUGGAGAUGUGAUGGGGAAAUGAUGUCAUCCCCGUGGCCGACAAUUACGCAGCUGAUUUUUCUCCGAAUCCAAGAACCGAC
RNAcentral lists this long non-coding RNA (242 nucleotides) under Capsella rubella. RNAcentral's name for it is "long non-coding RNA (CRUB_LNC004798)". The record is from RNAcentral. Lineage: Eukaryota; Viridiplantae; Streptophyta; Magnoliopsida; Brassicales; Brassicaceae.